Molecule: ribosomal RNA, 352 nt
Filed under: Pseudomonas syringae pv. actinidiae
Lineage: Bacteria; Pseudomonadati; Pseudomonadota; Gammaproteobacteria; Pseudomonadales; Pseudomonadaceae
Description: bacterial SSU rRNA
Rfam family: Bacterial small subunit ribosomal RNA
Source: RNAcentral
AGAGAUUAAACUGAAGAGUUUGAUCCUGGCUCAGAUUGAACGCUAGCGGGAUGCCUUACACAUGCAAGUCGAACGGCAGCACGGACUUCGGUCUGGUGGCGAGUGGCGAACGGGUGAGUAAUGUAUCGGAACGUGCCCAGUAGCGGGGGAUAACUACGCGAAAGCGUAGCUAAUACCGCAUACGCCCUACGGGGGAAAGCAGGGGAUCGCAAGACCUUGCACUAUUGGAGCGGCCGAUAUCGGAUUAGCUAGUUGGUGGGGUAACGGCUCACCAAGGCGACGAUCCGUAGCUGGUUUGAGAGGACGACCAGCCACACUGGGACUGAGACACGGCCCAGACUCCUACGGGAGG